GGGGUCUGGGAGCCUGGAGGAAGCGAGAGCUUUGGCGCAGGCCGCCUGCGCGCUGUGCCAGGAAGGCGCUUGGAGAAAAUGUCCGGCCCCGCGACCUGGGACAGGAAGUGAUGGAGCACGGACUUAGUUUGCCUUUCAGUUCUUGUAUAAAUAGUUUUGAGGUUUAACCUGCGCCCCCGCGCUCUGCAUCAGCGCGGCCCUCGACCCCGUGCAGCUGGAAACACUGGGCGCCUCCCUGCUGGGCCCCUUCACACCCCGGUGGUGGUGCAGCCCUGCCUCCCGCAAGACAGCACUGCCUUCCUGCUGGACACAGUUCUAAGGUGGAGCCUGGAGUGCCUGUAGCACAAAUCCCGGAAUUGGGAAGUGCCCAGCUUUGGGCCACUGUGAUCCCUGGGUCUUUCCCGCGCGCGUAGUCUCGUGCCGCCUUCCACCCCGGUCCUGUGUCCUGUGCCCCGGUUCAGGGUUGUCUCUGAAUUUUCACCCAGUUGUCUACCAAGAGCCAAGGACGUGGUCUUUUAUCAGUGGCACCUGAGACUUUCUUCCCUGUGGACGCAAAUCCAUUAUUCAGCACUCUGGGCACAGCUACAGAUCUGAUCAGCUAUCCAUUCUCCAAACUAUCUCAUCCUCUGUCCCAUUUUUCUGUCUCUCUUGUCCACAAGGCAUAUACCUGAGAGUUUUCAAAUUCCUCAGAGAAAUUUAGCUGUUCUGUGGCUUUGGCAUUCACCUAAUGUGUUAAUCUACAAACCUUUUUUACAGUGUGGAUUUUUUUUUCAUGAUGUGAAUUCAAGUGGUUUCUAAUGUUCUCUUCAUAAAGUUGUAAACCAAAAAUAAAAUUCUAAGGCCCCACCCCAUCUGAAUGGACCCCUUCUCUGGGCCAGGGCACUCCAAAUUAACCUGAAAACCGUUCAGGCCACGACAUGAAGUGGGGGCGGGUGGGACAUGGCUGACUAUGCCCUCCUCCCUUUUGGAAUUCAGGGAAAGCCAACACAGACCUUAAGUCUAAUGAGAAACACCAUCUACUCUCUCUGAAGCCUGCUACCCCAAGGCUUCUUCUGCUGAUAAAACUUUGGUCUCCACAACCUCUUAUAACCCAGACAUUCCUUUCUAUUGGUAAUAACUCUCAACUAAUUGCCAAUCAGAACAUUUUUAAAUCUACCUAUAACCCAGAAGCCCCCACUUUGAGUUGUCCUGCCUUUCUGGACUGAACCAAUGUAUAUCUUGAAUAGAUUUGAUUGAUGUCUCAUGACCCUCUAAAAUGCAUAAAACCAAGUUGCACCCCAGCCACCUCCUGAGGUCUGUGUCAUGGGCGUGGCCACUCUGUUUGGCUCAGAAUAAAUCUCUUCAAGUAUU
Pan troglodytes (chimpanzee) is the source of this 1350-nucleotide long non-coding RNA. RefSeq lists it as uncharacterized. NCBI's taxonomy places the organism in Eukaryota, Metazoa, Chordata, Mammalia, Primates, Hominidae. The transcript is spliced from 3 exons. The record is from RefSeq and is a predicted model, not a curated record.